GUUCUCUUACCUUUUGGAAAUUUGAAAUAUAGAAUAUAUUGUCGUUUCACACUUGCACCUCCAUAUUAUAAAAGCCUACUUGAGCUAAGAAAUGCCUUGUUACAUCAACGUUAACUCUUAAUUAAUGAUUCUUGACUCCAUGUUUGAAUUUUGUAUGUUGAUAAGCAGUCUAAAAAUACAUUAAAUUGAUUUACAGUAAUACUAAGAAAACGUUUUAAAUUAAAAACAACUAUGUUUAUUUAUUUAUUUAUUAAAUCUUAAAUCUUUGUAAAGAAAUCUAUUACUUGUUUAUCAACUUAUUUAUUUAUGCAUCUAAUUUAUAUUAUCAUACAUUGUUUAUUCAUUUAUAUAUUUAUAUUUUUUUAUAAAUCUGUGGUUGUGUUGAAGUACAGAACAUGUCGUCCUUAAUGAGAUACACAGAUAUGAUAUAAUUACACCCCCCCCCAUGACAUGUACUACUUUGUUAACACCAACUUAAAACCUCACCAUUACCUUCAGUCACAAUAAACAUUAGUUAGACCAUGCAUGACAUAACAAUGCAUGUACACUCUUCCCUCCAUUUACACCAAGCAGCAAUACACUCAAGCCUUGAUAGAUCCAUUGACAGUAAUGUCACGAUUGUUAUUUUAGCAUGGGUGAGUGAUAUCAGCAGUGGAAGAGAGUUGUCAGUGAAGAAUGCCCAGAAUGCAACCUCCUCUGCCAGCUGCGUAAAGGACACACACACACACACACACGUGUUUGGUUGGGGAACUUUGGCUGGACAUUUCUCAGCUGUCUUUUUAGCCAUCAUUCAAAGACAGUGUUACUGUGUGUGUUUGUACGGGUGUAUGUGUGUCUGUGUUCAUCUUUGUCAUCCAAGUGCUGCCAGUAUGUGUCCUGCUUGUUGAACCACACACAAACUUACUCUUCUUGUAGGUUACCAGAUGCUGAAUGCUUGAGGCCCUCUCUAUCCCUCCCCUUUCUCUCUCUUUCUCUCUCUCAAAAUUCUGCUCCCUCUCUCACAUGCAGCCUCCAGGAGAUGAGUUGAUUCGUUUUGGGAGGUGUCCAAGAACAGAAUGAGAGGCAGAAGAGAGAAAAAGAGAAGGGAGAAUGAAAGACAAUGAGAGAGAAAGAAUGAUAGAGAGAGACAAACAGAGGCAGCCCAUGGCGUGAUGCAGAAUGAGCCUGCACAGAUAUGGAGAGAUUAGCCAGCCGCUGCUAUAACACUGGCCUGUUUUUAUGACUGCUAAAGCCUCUGGCAGCAGCUAAAGCCACUCUCAUGGGCUCCAAAAGCCCCGGCGUCUCCUGCGGCUCACAAAGACAGAAUAGAGACAAUGAAGAAAACAGGUUAGUUACAUUCGACGUGAAUCUGCUUCCCUAAAGUCCCAUCGAUGCUGUCGUAAGCACAAGUGAAUCCAACAAGAUGGAGCAGAGCACCACAAAUGCUGACAAGUAACACAAUUUCAGUGGAAUGUCAGUUGCAUCGAAUGCAAGAUGUGCUCUAUUUCAUUACAUGUCUGAAGCAUUUAAGGGUGUGUUGACGGGGCAGGCAGUAAUGCUCACUUCAGGCCUCCAUGUUGAAAUCCGACUGCUGGAUUUGGUCCUCGAUUUGUUUCUCGGUUAUCACAAAUCAUUUUAGUCUUCGUGGCCACCUUGGCUUUAAAGUUAUUAGAGUGGUGGAGGUCUCAUGGUGUUGCACUUUCUCUGGCCUGCUGUAAGGAAUUUGUCAAAUUACACUGGGUGAUUAGAUUGUUUGGGUGUCACAAACCAUAGUAACAGAGCUGUAGCACCAUGUUAGAGUCUAGCAUACUUCGAGAUUUAGUUGGGUCACAUAUUGUAUAAACUCACUCAAAGAGUCAUUUUGAACAGUACACAGUACCAAAAUGUCCUGAAAACUGAAACUGUGCUUUCUCAACUGGCCUCUGGUCCAAUGAUAAAGCUUUCAAUUGUUUAGCUUUUUCCAUCCGUAAAACAUGUUAACUAACCAACAAGUGCAACAGCAAAUGCAGAAACACGAGUAAUUUCAGAAAAGAGCAGUAAAACAACAGUAAAAACAAAAAUGCGACCACAAAUUCAGAAAAGCAACAUUAACUCAUAAGGGUAGCCUGUUAUUGACAUCAUAUACUUAAUCACAAGUGGGAAAAAACAACACUUUUUGUGUUUUUAGUUUUGCUGUUGUGUUUGUGUUUUGUAUUGUUGAGGUGUUUUUGAUUGGCUGUUGUGUUUUUAGUUCCCUUUCAACGGGAACUCAACGUUGCGUGAACUUCAGGCUGUGUGAGUGCCUUCAUGCAUGACCGGUAUCUACAGUCUGUGUAAAAUCGUGCCAAUUUAAAGGCUUGCCGUGGCCAGGUGACUAUAAACGGCUUCUGUAAACCACGUCAUCAACUUGUUUGUCUUCAGCCAAGCCACAUGUCUGUUGUCUGUGUGAACAAGCAUUGAAAAAACCCUUCACUUCUCUCUGUUUAACUGCUUUUCUAAUAUAUAUACAAAUAUAUUUUUUCUCUUCUGUCAUUAUCCUGUGGAAACAGAAUGAGUCCCUGCUCUCCUUAUAUUACAGAGGGGGAUGGACACAUUUUUUGUGCGAAGUAUCUGGGAGUGCAGCAUGCUGAAGAAGCCCUUGAGGGAGCUGACUGAACUCAUCGUGAACGCUUCACAAUGAACCAGCUCGGCUCUCUUUCUUCUCAGCCGAAAGGAGAUUGGAACCUCAGGGCUCUGGGCUGGCUGCUGCCGAGGCCACCAGCCGGCUCAGAUUCUGGGGGUCUCAUAUGGAUCUGGAGGAGGAUCCGGGGUGCUGUUCUAUCUCUUGCUCUUUCUUCCAGAUCUGACUCUCCACUACUGGGUUUUGGAGCUCGAAAAGUGACUUCUACUCCCGGUAUGGAGAGCCAACCCACCCUCUCUGACUCUGAGGAGCCAGAGGGGGGAGCCAAUGCAUUAAAAUUGGAGAGCAGCUCUCAUUUUAUAAAGUGCUGCUCAAAGUGAUCACUAGGGCAGUUGAUGCUAGGACAAUAGUAUGUGGCUAAUUUUAGAUCUGCGUCAUCUGAACCGAAGUCUUGAGACAUACAGGUUCAAGAUGUUGAUGCUCAAACUUAUCGUUCCACAGAUUCAGUUCAUGGCUUGGUUUGUGACAAUAGGUCUAAAAGACAUAUUUUUACAUAGAAAUAUUGCCCAGUCACAGGAAGUUCCUGAGGUUCGCGUUUGGAGGCAAUGCGUAUCAAUAUUGAGUUCUUCCCUUCGGUCUAACUUUAUCCCAGCUCACCUUCAUGAAGUGCAUGGAUGCUGCACUGGCUCCAUUGCGACUCCAGGGCAUCCGUGUACUAAACUACUUGGACUACUGUUUAAUUCUAGUGUGGUCCAGGGAGUUGGUGAUUCAACAUGAAGAUGAUGUUCUCACCCACAUAAGGAGCUUGGGGCUCAGGUUGAACCUCGAGGAAAGUAUGCUUUCUCCAGUUCAGAGGAUGACUUUUCUAGGACUUAUAUGGGAUUCAAAUAGGAUAGAGUGGGCGGGUGGGGGCUACCUCCUCAAGGCUUUACCCUUACAGGAUGUGUGUGCUGUGGCGGGAUGGUCUACGCCACACACAUUCAUUCGAUAUUAGAGGUUGGUCGAGGAUCUUGCGGGGACCCUCAAACCCAGACCUUUUUUGUACAGGCCAUACCGUCAGUAUGACAGAGUGGGUAUACUCAUACCCACAGCGUGAGGCUCACGCAACUUUGAGUUACUUUUGAAAGACAACAUCUGGGUUACGCAUUAACACAACCUGUUCCCUGAGAAGGUAACGAGACUUUGCGUAGAUUUGUUAUACUGGGGCAUGCCUGUGAAUCGCAUCUUCGCUUCAGAUAAUGGAGGCUGAUGACGUUGUUUACAGGUGCCGUUUUAUAAUCACGUGACACGUGAAAUGUCAUGUCAUCUGACCACUGCAGGCCUAUAUAUAGGUAUGAUUUCACACAGACUUCAGAUGCCGGUCACGUGUGAGGGCGCUUCCCACAACAUGAAGCUCAUGCAAUGUUUCAUUCUCUUCUCAGGGAACAGGGUUACAUGCGUAACCCAGACGUUUUCCUGUUCUGUUUUUAGAUUUGCUGUUGUACUUUUGGUUUUGUUGUUGUCUUGUUUUGUUAUGCUGUUUUUUUUUAUUAUUUGCUAUUGUGUUUUUAGGCAUGCUGUUGUGUUUUUGAUUUGCUGUUGGGUUUUUAGUUUUGCUGUUGUUUAUUCCUAAGUUUUUAUUUGUUGCUAUUCAGUGGACAAAUGGCCAAACAUGUAAUGGCUUACAUAUUUUCACCUAAUAUAUGUUAUAGUAGCAUUUAUAAUUGAGUGCUAUUAGUAUGUUUAAUACGUAUAUAGCUCAUGCGUGUACUCAUCAUGUCAUAUCAUUUAAUUUUAGAGAAUUUUGUAUUUCAUAACAUUUCAUCUUUUGAGAGUCAUAUUAAGACAUCAUGUUGUGUGAGUGCAUGUGUUGGGGCUGGAGGCUAGAUGACAGAAUUAUUAAUAGAUAUUUUAAUUAUUCCCUAGUUAGCCUCAGGCAUCAAGGCCUUCAGUAGAACAUGCUUACACUACAGAACAUUCUGACAGAACAGCAACCAUGAUGGAUCAAUUGAAGAUUCAUCAAAUCUCUGCUCACAAACACGGGGGUAAGCAUGCAUGUAAAUACGCACUCAUACACACACCUGUCUUUCUCUCACACUGCCUUUUAUUCUCGCCAUCCAUCUACGAAUGCACACGCACACCUCAGCAACCAUGUUUGCACGACUGCACACUGUGGACGUCCAACUUAUAGUAUACUGCAGGACUAAAUAUAUCGCUUUAUUAAUAUAACAAAUGACACUAAGCUGAUUUGAUUAAUCUUUAAUUCGAACUCUAACACCGUGUUGUUAACACUAUUAGUCUAUUGAGCAUUUUUAUUUCAUUUCUUCGCUUAACAGAUCAGUUAAGUGCUUCCAUUUUAAAAGAUGCAUUCUGUAUUCAAUUUAGCAGGCCUGCGAUGGACUAAUUCACCAUCAUGAGAACGCCACGUACUCGCUCUAGUCCUCGUUUCUCUUUUUUCCCCUCAUUUAAUCUCCCCUUCUUUUAUUUCCUUUAUUUCACACAAGAGAUGCUCAGUCACUCUCCUCAGCAUCUUCCCUCCUGCUCUCUCCAUCACUCCUACCUGCUUAAUUCCCCUUUAACGGGCUGCGCCAAAGUCGUUAGCUGAUUAAAACACUUAAUUGGGCCCUGCAGAAUAAGGUGGAGGGAUCAAGACUGAAGUUAUGGGAAACAGGAAGUUUAAUGAUGCCAUUUCUGCAGGGUUUGUUCUCUCAUUACCACAUGAUAGUAAGACAUUUCUGUAUAAUGUCAUAUACUAUUAGCUACUAUUACAUUAGCUAUUAUUAUGGACAUGUAUAUUAGCUACGAUUACAUACAGUAUACAUAGUACAUAGGUGUUAUAUAGAACAGGAUAUGUGACCUAAAACAUGAUGGGGCAUGCUGUUACAGAAAAGUAAUCAAUGCGGCCAGUCAUGAAGCAGACUUACUGGUACAACCCUGAAGUGGAUUAAUGUCCUAUAAUAGCACAUAUCGAAGUGCUUUAUUUCUCUUAUACCACAGCAAUUGUUAAGGAUUACAGUUUUUUAAAUAAUGAAAGACCCAUUGUAUUUUUAACCAUUAUUUAUUUAUUUAUUUAUUUAUUUAUUGACAGAUUUCUCACAUGCUUGAGAAUUUCUAUCUUAGCGAAACAGUCUAAUCAAUGAAAGGUGUUACAUGUCAUACUUUUAUCCAUUUUAGUUGGAUUUAAUGCUCAGAAAUGUGGCAGCUAUAAACAGUUGUUUAUUCACUUUCUCUUGAACUUAUAAAGGAACCACAAACCAUAAACCCUUCUGUCCUGAAGAUGGUCCAAUGUAUGAAAACGUAAAGGUACAGCUUUACUUCUGACUGUUACAGUGUGCUGACACUGGAGACUCCUUCCAUAAAUGAAAAAUAAGUGUCUUCACCAUAUAACAAUUAGACAUUUAUAUUAAUUAAAUAAAACACACUUUUAAAUUUGUUUGUUAGUAGGUUUAGAUAAUAUGGAGUGUCUGCCAUGCAAUCUCUUGUGAAUUAGCUGUUACGAUAGAAACAAUUGCAUUAAAAUAAUUGCAUUAAUAUUACUUCACAGCUGUAACUACUGUCCGAUCUUUAAAGAAAACGAAUCAAUAGCUUCUGAGCAGAUUUGAGAAUUCAGCAGUGCAUAGUUGUAAAUAUCAUAUAUGCUGUAUAUAAUGCUAUAGUAUUACAGUAAAAAAGAAAAAAAAAGUAACAUACAAGUUCCAUACAGGCAUAACUCUGAUCAGUGCUAUGACUGUGUGUGUUUGAAACAUGGACAAGCACUGCUCUGUGCAUAGACCACCGGUGAGAGGUGAAGACUGUGGGAUGAAUGACAAUGGGAAAGCGAUUCACCCCAGAGGCACUAAAUGGGUGCAAGUCUGGGUCAAGAGGCAACGGGUGAAGUCUUCAUUCAUGGAGAAGUCAAAGGAAAAGCCUGGCAACUAAACAAACGAGUGCCAGAGCUCCUCCUUAUGUUUACACACAUGAGGACAUGGCUUACAUAUGACUCCAGUUUGGACGUGGAGUGCAAUGAAUUAAAAAAUAUAUAUAUAUUGUUUAAAUAAAAAGGUCUGGAUAAAAGACUGGAAAAAUGGGAUUUAUUCUCUAAAUAAUACUGCAGGCUUUGUGUUUAUUUAGUUGGUGGAUGAAAACAGCAUCUUUAUGAGAGAAUGAAAGACACAGACCGAGAAAGAGGCACUGAAAAGGCUGUUUGGGGGCAAAUCUUUCAUUACGGUAGAGAGAAAUGCAUUUGUGGAUUUGGGCAUUGGGCAAGUGUGCUAUUACUGAUGAAAAAAAAACAUUGUGAUCAAUGGAGAGGAGAAGAGUGAACUCUGUCAGCUGCAGGGAGAUCACACACACACACACACACCCACACACACACACACACACACACACACACACACUGUCAGAUUAUUGAGAACACAAACACGUCCUACACACACUCACUGACACACAGAUGGAGCAGAGACAGAGUAUGACAUUUAAAGGGAGAAAGCUGACAUUGAGUCCAUCACUGUCACUGUGCCUGCCAUAAAGCAGCAGCAAAUAUUAAAACAUUUUUCAUCUGCGCUGCAUUAUUGGCACCAGAAAUUGUUUUCCUCUCUGUCUGAUAUUCGUCUGAACUGCGCCGCUGCUCCCUCGAGACCACAGGCUGUUACCAAGGCCUCCCAACAUAUUGGCAGUUGAUGGUAGUAUUCAUGUACACUUGCCACUCACAAGUCUUUAACCUCCCCCCUCUCUUAAUGUUGCUCAAAUCCCAGUGUUCAUGCUACGUAUGGAGACGCUGCUUGCACAGCAACAGAAAUACAUCUCGUUCUGUACAUUCUGUCAGCAUGGGCAAAAAUUCCUCCCGAUUUACACAGACAUAUGCAUUAAACAGAUCCACAUAUUUUAUCCAGUUGUUUUUUCUUUCUUUCGCCUUUGGUAUUGCCUGGCCUGCUAUCUGAUGCAUGUUUGAUUCAUGUCAUGUUCUCGUUUUCUACAGUGUCCAUCCAGCCCCCCCCCCCGACUGUGACAGUCUCUUCAGCUCAUCAUAUCUCUCAUAUACCUCUAAUUAGAUUCUUCAGUUCUGGCUGGAUACAAUCAAAAGAGCAAUACAUGCCAAUCACAUUCUUGAGUGCAGAGCAGAAUAAAUGCAUGUUUAAAGCUGAUAAUCAUAUUCCUUUGAUUAGCUUUUCAUUAAUCUCUAAUGAGGGAAGAAAAUGUUGCCAAACAUCACCAUAUGUGUUGGCUUUUGACUCAAAAACAAGGGCUUUUAGGGAAAGACAUAUAGACAUUUAGGGCAAGAAAUAUAGUGCAUCUAUACCAUGCGUCUUCUUAAACUUUUGUAAUACAAAUCUCAAAGCGCAAUAGAAAUAUGUGGUUUUACAGCUUUUGUCCACUUGCAACCAUUAUAAGAAAGAUAGCAACUUUGAAGAAGUCUUUAAACUCCACCCACUUGGCACAAUCCCAUCGUGUCAUUUAAUAUGUCUCGGAAAACAUUGUUUCCUGAUAAAUUUGUGAAAUAAUGUGUCAUUAAAUAACACUAACUAGAGUGGAAACACAUCAUUUUUUUCAAUUCUCUUUUUUUUUUGAUAUUCAGUCUCAAUUUCUAGAACUGUAUUCAAAAUGUCGAUAAUUUAUAUUAGAUUUCAUACUGAAAAACUAAAGCUAAGAAUGUUGCAAUGUUUCUUCUUUCAACACAAUUUACAUUCUCUAAAAGCCUCCCUCUAAAAAGUGUUUUCACAGUAAAAAAAAAAAAAAAAAUGCAAAUGCAUGCAUAUUUAAAUAGAUAAAGAAUUAUUUGCAUAGAUAAAUGUAGACUUUUUGUUUUCAAUACAAAAAUGCUUGUUCCAAUAGUAAAAAAGAAAUACUUUCCUCACAUAUCCUCAAUCAACUGGAUUAAUGCUGAAAAGAUUCAUUGUUUUGUAAAAUUACCUUAAUCAACUCUAAUGUCUUUUGUGUGCAGUGGUAGUUCAGUGGUUAAAGCUAAAUGUGUGCAGAGGUGGCUCAGUGGUUAAAGGAACACUCCAGUGCUUUUCAAGCUAAUCUCUGGGUUAUGGUGGAUCUGGAGCCUAUCCUGGGAGGACUGGAUAUGAGGAGGGACUACAGUCUAGAUUGACCGCCAGUCCAUCCCAGAGCUCCAUGCACACACACAUUCACACCUAGGGUUAAUCUGAAGUCACCAAUAUGGAAUCGCCAGUAUGGAGUGUACCUGAAGGAAACCAAUAUGAGCAUGAGCAUGAGCAGAAGAAGCAAAUCUUCACAUAAACAUUAACCCAAGCUCAGGAUUGAACCAGC
This is a long non-coding RNA of Ictalurus punctatus (channel catfish), 8809 nucleotides long. Lineage: Eukaryota; Metazoa; Chordata; Actinopteri; Siluriformes; Ictaluridae. The record is from Ensembl.